UCAGAGACGCACAGCUCGAACGGGUUUUGCUUAAGUGGCAUAAUUCUCCCACAGUGGAGACAGCUCAUUCAUUAGUCAUUCCAGAUACAAAAUACUCUUCCGUGAGCCAACUCCACCAACCAGCUCCACAGCCACGGGUCUGCCCGCUGCCCCACCCCCACCCCGCCCGCCUGCCUGCCUUCGGGUGAAGACUUCACCUGAUCAUCCUAGACCAGCAAACUCGUAUCUACCCUUCAGGACCCACCUAGAUGUCACUGCAUCCAGAAGUCUUCUCCAUUUCCUCAGAGCAUUUUUUCCUCUUCUGUAUCCCUGAUUGCUGGGCUAUAACUCCAGCAAACCAUUGAUCUUGGGUACUGUUAAGGAUCCUGUCAUAUUCUGUCUCUGGAUUCCUCGAAAUGAAUGAAAAUCUCAGCAAAAAGUACUAGAUCCAUAAAGCAACAGCCCUGAACUUGAACGCAUGGAUGGAGAUGUGCCUCAGCCUGGAAGGAGUGGCCAGAGCAUCCUCUGUCUCCCCACUUUAUCAGCAAAUGGUAGUAGACACCAUCGUUAUUUCCUAGUGAAUCAAAAUGGAUGCUGGUACCCAGGAAGACCCUAGAGUCUGCAUCAGGACCAGCACACUGCCCCCGAGCCUAAGCAAGGCUCAAACUCUCCAGGCCUCAUUUUCUCAUGCACGGAUGUGAGCCCUAGUUGGUCCCUCCCAUCUCCAAUCAAAAGCAAACCCAAGACACCUUCUCUAACAACCAAAGGACCACAGCAGAGACCCAGGAAGGAGAGGCGUGUCUGGUCAGAACCCAGCACUGACUCUGGACUAAAUGGCUCCUCAGAGGACGGAGCUCCCAUCCAAAGGUCUGGGUGUCUGCACUGCAAUUUCCCUUCCUCCCCAAGCACCAGCUAGAAAAAGUCCCUUCCUCUGCUGUGUCUGUAAGGCUGUCUAGUGUUCAGGUUGUCACGGCUGGGGGCUGCCCCCCGCAGCACAGCAUUUUAGGAGCUGAGGUAUACAACGUAAGCACCAUCCUACCCAGCAUCUAGAACGUGGCUACUCAACCUGUGGAUCACGACCCUCGUUGAGUCGCAUAUCAGAUAUCUUGCAUACCAAAUAUUUACAAGGCAGUUCAUAAUACCAAGAGUCCAGUUAUGAGGUAGCAAUGGAAUAAUUUCAUGGUUGGGGUCACCACAACAUGAGGAACUGCAUUAAAGGGUUGCAGUCUUAGAAAGGUUGAGAGCCACUGCUCAAGAGGCUCCUCUGCCAGCACAGCAGGGCUGGCCCUCACAUGGGCUCCCCACACAGAGGUAGCCACCAGGCCCAGGCUCUUGAUCCUUUCCUUACUCCUCAGAAGGAAUCGCCAUCUCCCCAGGAGCUAAGGUCACACCGCCCAGUAGCCUGCUCCUGUUGCCUCUUGCCUGGAUCCUGCUAUUGCUGCUGCUCCUAACUCGAAGCUGGACACCCUGAUUCCCCAAAUCUGACACCUCCUUCCACCCUUCAGUGGAGUGCCACCAACCUGCCAGAGACCUGGGAAUGACUAGGCUUGACAUGAAGGGAUCCUGCCUGGCAGGCAGGUCCUGGCAGGCCUCAGAAUGCAGACGGUGAGUCACCUCCUGCUGCCUGCUGGACAGAGCUGUAAUGACAAUAAUAACAGAGCCCACUGUCAUUACCUCCCAGGACCAUAUCUCUGUCCAUCUCACAAUCCUCAGGGCCAGGGAGGGGCCAAAGGCAGAGAGUUCUUGUUCUGUCUUAAGCAGAGAGAAACUAAGGCUGGCAUUUCUACUGAACUCAGUAUAGAGCAGGGCUUUGCCUCCUAGUGUCACCCUGAUGUCAAAGGAAGUUGGAGGUCCCGAGAAAAGUUGAGGGGUGCAGAAGGAGACUGGCUUUUCUUGACUUCUCAGAACCUUCCUCUAAUCCUUAUCUUACUUGCCACAGCCCCUCAAGACAGGUGUGACUACUAUCCCCACUCUAUGCCCAAGGAACUUAGGGCUCAGUCAUCAAGGGAGUACCAACACAGGACAGGACACUAGGGAGAUUUGGCCAUCUUCCCAGUGUUCCUAGGGCAGACCCUCUGCAGCCUGGCAUCCCGGGGCAGAGCAGACACUCUGUGUGUAGGCUGGGAUCCUAAGUCUGGCUGUAGCUUUCUAAGUCUUGAGUCUGGUCUUCUCCAUAGCCUUUCCAGUCUAGCUCGCUGGUCUCCGGAUUAGGGCUCUUCCCCAGCUCCCUGAGGCUAGCUUUCACUUUCAUCUAGGAGCAGCCGUGGAAAAGUCAAGACUCCACACUUUAAUUUGGGGGUCUUGGUAAUUAUCUGACAUCCACCACCCACUCAACUCAACCACUAGUUAUUAUAAUAACAACAAUAAUAAUUUAGGGAGGCGAUAGCAGUGAUCACACUCUGCCCCGCCCCCAGGGGAAGGCCUCACCCAUUCUUUUAUACCCAAAUCUGUGGGACUGGGUGGGGAGGGGGUGUAGGCUUCUGGUCAGUCCUGGCCAGCAUGCCCUACAUCUUCUAGGUGAGCCAGCUCCAAUCCCUUAUGCCUCCUUUCUCCUCUUUGCAAAAUGGGGUAGAUAUCCUGUCACACAAAAAGCUGGCAGAUGGAGGAAGGUUGGGAGUUCGAGACCAGCCUCCUACAUGGAAAGAUCCUGCCUCAAACAAACAGCUCUACAGGAUGAGUUGCUCUGCACUUCAAGUCCUACUAAGGGACUUUUCCCUUCGCAAAACAUAUAGUCAGUGUGAGUAUCUGCCUGACACAUCACAGUGUGCCAUGGCAGGGCCUCCCCGGGGAUGGUCCUUUGGGUGAGCUGGCUGACUGGGGCCCGGCUGAGCUCAGGGUGCAGUGGGCACCGCCUUCAGCCCUCAGCACCAGCAGCUGUCAUUGCCAAGCCCUGCAGCCAGAAUGAGCAGUGCUGCCGUCUGAGCCCAGUAAAUGCUUUUACGAGUCCUUUUUACUAAUUUGGGUUAAUACGUGGAGAAGCCAGGACAACAGUUAACAACUAAGGAGAGGAACAGGGCCCGUGUCUCACUGGAACAAAUGUAGGUUGCCUCCAGUGUACUCAGGGUGCCCAGAGCUCUGGAGGAGGGAGGAGGAGUCACUAAACGCAAAGCCUCCCCACGCUGACCGCGGGGAGGGUCACUCUGUGUGUCUGGAGAGAGCAGAGCCUGCCUGUGAGUUUACACUGUCAGUUGCCUCUGGGCCCUUUUCUCUCCAGCUAGAGCUGCUGCUGCUGCUGCUGCUGCUGCUGCUGAGCAGGCUAAGAGGGAAGACCUUGAACCAUCUGUCUUCAGUCAUUACAUAUGCCUAUUGGAUAUAACAAGCCCAUUUACAAUGUGAUGUUCCCACAGUGUUCCAACUGCUUCCCAAAGGCUAAUUUGUUUAAUCCUCGUAACAUCUCUAUAAUUAUCACUGCCAUGAAGACUACCAAGACAGAGAGCAGAGGGGUUAAGUGACUUGUUCAGGGUCACAAAAUUGAAAAAGUAACAAAGCCAGGGUCUGGGCCCAGGUUGUUUCCCUUGGGAUCUGUGUUCAUUAUCUGAAAUUUGUUUUAAUUUUGUAUGUGUGCAUGUUUGAGUGUGGGUGCAUAUGUGAGUCUGUCAGUGUGGAGGCCAAAUAUUUCCAUACAAAGUUUUUCUUGAUUGCUUCCUACCUUACGUUUUGAGACAGGAUCUAUCCUGGACACCGGAAUUUACUGAAACUGCUAGGCUUGCUGGUCCUUGCACACCAGGGAUCCGCCGUCUCCCUCUUCACUUCUGUACCUAGCUUUUCAUUUUUAAUUAAUAUUUUUAUUAUUAACAUAUGAAUAGUGGGGAACUAUUCAUGGGUCAGAACUGCAUGCUUGCAUGAUGGGUGAGCGCUUUACCUAGUGGGCUAUCUCCCCAGGCCUUUACCUGAAGCACCCCUCCCGCCCCCCACCACACCAAACAGGGUUUUUCUGUGUAGCCCUGGUUGUCCUGGAACUCACUCUGCAGACCAGGCUGGCCUCAAACUCAGAGAUCCGUCUGCCUCUGCUUCCCUGAUGCUGGGAUUAAAAGCGUCCACCACCACUGUCCAACUCUUUACCUGAAAUUUUAAAGCUUCGAUCUAAAACCAGUUGAGAAAUACUGUAGCCUUAUUGCUUUCCCAGAGAGUGCUGGACACUCGUAUGUGGGAAAGAACCAGUUGUAAGAGAGACCCCUGAGUCACAGCUGAAUUCGAGUGUUCUUUCUGCACCACCCCCAACUGGAAAUUGCUUGCAUGCCUCCUGUGAUGCUGGGUUCAUUGCUGGAGCUGCUAGCACCCUCUUCUCUAAUUUCAGGGGCCUGACUUGUCCUCUGCAGUUGGGCUGCUUUAUCUCCUGUACAGGACAGCCCCUUGGCACUAAAAAUAGCAUCCAUGGUUCCUUUCAGUGUUUUCUUUGUUUUUAAAUUCGAUUUUAAACAUCCUUAGCUCUUCUGUGGCCUGUGUUUGUCUGAAUUCUAGAUUCAGGCCUGCCUCUGCUUCCCCCCUCUGCACUGCUGGGUUGUCUGGACCAGCCGUGCUGAGACACUGUCCCCUGGGCUGAGCAUGAGUGUGAGUUACACUCCUUGGCACAUACUGAGCUUGCAGUCUUUGAGUUCUGUCCUCCAAAGACUGGAACCACCCAGCUGUGCCAUCAGGGGUUUGAGCCUGACAGCAGACAUUCAUAUUUGCUGGUGGUAUAAUAUCAUCUUAUUAGUUUAAGUUCCUUGUUCAAGGAUAACUUGAAAACUUACUCUUUGUCCCUUCUUAAGGAUUCUCUACAGUUGUUGUUGUUGUUGUUUUAAUCGUGUAAAAUCUUCAUUUACUUUAUUUGGCCAUGCUAAGGAUGAAAUGUAGGGGUCUCAUGCGUGGAGCUGUACUCCUGUACAAGCUGAAGUUGGAUCACUGUGCCAUCUGUGUGCCCAGAAGGUUAUCAGAAGUCGUUUUUUUAAGAGCUUGGCAGGUUUUCUGAGGUGAGUUUGCACAGAAUGAUGAGGUAAAGAUAGAUGAACUCCCGAGAGAGCUUUCUGUUGGGAUCAAUAAGGGUGACCAGGGCUAGGCUUUCUGGUAUGCAAUUGGCUGGGUAAAACAGGUAAAGACCCACCCAGUGUCACCCGUGCGUCAGAGCCUGCCACCCAUGACGAGGCAGGAAGACAAAUACUGAUAGCGUCUGGCCACCAGAGCCCAUUGUUUUCUGUGCAGCCUCUGUGACAAGGACCCAGGAUGUGGAAGAGAGGACGUCACACAAAAGCCUCAGUGCCCAUUGUGAUGAGGUAUCAGGACUCCUAAGCCAGAGCAGAGCAGUUGAUCCGGGUGCCUUUAGCCUCCCAGAAGCAAGAAAAAGAAGCCACUGGGGGUGCGAGGUGUGGGUGUUCAGAGGGAGAGCCCUGCCAUGCUGUCUGGGGCCAGGGCUGCUGGGAGUUUGAAACGUUUUUUCAUCUUGGGCACCUUCCCUGUGCUCACUUCUCAGAGGUCACAGACUCCUGAGAAUCAAAAGAGCCAGGCUGAGGCUGGGGAUCACUGAGGCUCACAGCUAGUGGCCUGGGUUUAUCCCAUGGGGCUAGUGUGAAUCAGUUCCAGUGGGGCCGCUGCAGAACACAGAAUGUAGCUUUAUCUAAGAGCCAUCCAAACUCAGCUCCCUGUGUGCACGUGCAUUCAUCUCCCUCUUCUUGCAGCUGCACCCAGCCAUUCUCUCUGCAAGAGUGCCCAGGUGACAAGUUCUGAUGCUGGGGUACCCCACCCAGGUCCUGGAAGAGAUUCAGCCACAGGAACUGAGGUGAUUUGGAAGCCCUGAGAGGGGACCAUUCUUAGAUUUCUAGUAUAGUUGUGGAAAAGGCUGAGAGCAGACACCACACCAGGUAAAGAUGAGGUAGAGGACAAAAGUGGGAACCCCCUGGAACCAGGGAGCUAUAGGCACUAUCGGUCAAACAUCAGCCCCCCCCCCCCCCCGAGAUGUUCUGGGCUCUGCCUGUGGCAGUGGUCCCAGCCUUAGGACUCCCUAGCUUCACAACCUAGUCCUGAAGCUGUGGACCACAGAAUACCUUUUCCUGUCACCACCGAGACCUGCCUUUCCUCCUACAAAAGCCCUGUGGUCAUAGUCGGAGACAUUCUUACCAUCUGCUGGACUUCAGAGUGCUGGUGGGAAGAUCUGAACUCAGGCAAACAGGAGGCCAAUGUUAAGACACUUACCUGGGGCCAAUGAGGUGGCUUCAGCAGAGCAGGGUGAUUGUCCUUGAGCUCCGUCUGCAGAAGCUACAUGAAGGUAAAGGAGCAAGCCUGACUGGUGACGUUCUCUUCUGACUUCCACCCUCCUCCUAACAACAACAACAACAACAGUAGAUACAAUUUAAGAGCACUGUGCAGAGCUAACACUCUUGUCUACUUAGUUAAGUUAAGCUUGACUGCCAUUACAGACACUGUCUCCAUCACUGGCCUAUUGAUGUGAAGAAAGACCAUGACCAAGGCAACUCUUAUAAAAGAAAACAUUUCAUUUGGGGCUGGUUUACAGUUCCCGAGGUUUAGUCCCUCAUCAUCAUGGUAGGCAUCAUGGCACCGGAGCAGUGGCUGGGAGCUACUUCCUGGUAUAGGGCAUACAUCCAUAUGCCCAAUUUUAAUUAUUAGUUUAUAUUCUGUUUGUGCAUUUAUUUGUUCAAUACAGAGUCUCAUGUAGUCUGGGAUCCAGCCCACUAGGUAGCUGAGAAUGGCCUUGAACACCUCCUGAUCUCUAGCCUCUAUCUCCCAAGUGUGGGCUUGACGAUGCGAGCCGCGGCUCCCAGGUUGUAACUCCUUUUCUUCACAAAUUAUUAUUUGACAUCGUCUUAUCCAUUCAAGUGUGGGCCUGUGGACUUUCUUGAGAUAGGAUCAUAUUUUGUUGUUAUGGCUGACAUGAAACUUGCUACAUAGGCCAAGCUAGUCUCAACCUAGUGGCAAAGCUCCUGCCUUGUCCUCUUGGAUGCUGAGAUCACAGAAGGCUACCAACCACCUCACCCAGCCUUCACGUUAGUUUGCAGAGUUGAAUUAUUUAUCUUACAAUUUCCCAAAUCUCACUAAUUUUCACUAAAUCAGCGUGAAUGCAAAUCCUCAGUUGUGGAGAAAAAUACAAGGUGAGUGGAUCUCUGAGGUUUCCAAGGGCCUGUUUCUGCACUGGGCCUCUGGGCUACAAUGGGGUGAAGGCAGCCAUUGCCUUCUCUGUGCCGUCUCAGGAAGCAGAGGCAGAAGGGAAGAAAGCUCUUGGCCCCAGCCCUGCCAGAAUCACUCAAAUGGAUGAGUCUUGUCUUCCUGAAAGUGAAGGCCCCAACACAGAAGAGAACUAUCCAGCUGCCUUCUUGGGUGGGGAUUUCAUAGCCCUCCGAAAGCCUCUGGCACCUUCUCUUCUUGCCUUGGCUCUGUUUCCUUCUUUGCUGAGGGUCCUAUUUGUCAGAGCAGAAGGGAAUUGCAUCAGGCAGUUUUGAAUCAGACAAAACAAAAAUAAGUGGCAGCUUUCUUGGGGAAAAGUAAUGCCGAGUUUUGAUUUGCUUUGUUUUGCCACUCCUGACUUAUUAGGCAGAGCCCAGUAAGUUAGGGGAGGCUGGCCAGAAUUUCAAAACACAGAAGAGGGAAUAGCACUUUGAACAUCCGUGGGACAGGGAUGGGCAGGGAAGCCGUGCGCUGGCCAGGCUGGGUACUCCCCCUGCAGGUGGGAGAGCUGGAAGACCAGCAAGCUAAGUCUGCAGGGUGAGGGAGCAUGCAGGAACGGUGAUGGAGGCGGAACAAGAACAUACGCCAAGCAGUGUAAAGAAUAAUAACCAGGGACAGGUAAUGACAAACACAACGGAGUGCUGUCUGUAACCUCUGCUGACUGAGACCCUCCAGAUCCAGCAGGAACUGAAGCACAGCCCUUGACUUUGUAGUGCCUGAGCAGGGUUCUCAGCCUGUGGGUCACAACCUCCAGGGUUACAUAUCAGAUAUUUACAUUAUCAUUCAUAGUGGUAACAAACUUACAGUUACGAAGUAGCAACAAAAGUAAUUUUGUGGGUAGGGGGUCAGCACAAUAUGAGGAACUGUUUUACAGGGUAGCUGCAUCAGGAAGGUUGGGAAUUGCUGAGCUAGGGUAGUAACUGCUAGGCAGUUACAUAGGAUCUGUUAUCUCUCCAUUCUGCAGCUGAUGAGACUGGGGCACAGCUUGGUUGACUCUCCCACACUCUUUGAGCUCAGAUUGGACUUAGGGGCCCCUACUCCUGAUUGAGCUAAUGUAAAACUGUACCUCCCUCCCUUUGACGAGAAGCGGGAUCUGGCCUGGACGUUGAGAGCCAUGACCACAGAGGGGAAUCUGGAGUGCAGCGGUGUUCCAGAGGACUGUCACCAUCACCCUCAUCAUGGGGCACCCUCCCAAAGUCGAGGGGUUCUGUCCCCUACUCUUUACAUUCUGAGUUCCAUCCGCACUAGGCUGUCCUAGCUGUCACAACUGGUUAGACCACCACACUCCCUGAGCCUCAGUCUAGCUACCAGUAAAAGUGUGGAUGGAAUCUGACGGCUAAAGGUUUGGAAAGGGGCAGGGAUUGGGAGAGCCCUUGCCUAGCAUGACGUGCCCUGGUUUAGAGGAUCGGUGUGUGCUGGUGCAUAUGAAUAGUCCUAGCACUAGGGAGAUAGAGGAAGGAAUUAAAAAAUGAAGAACAGCCGGGCGUGGUGGCACACGCCUUUAAUCCCAGCACUCGAGAGGCAGAGGCAGGUGGAUUUCUGAGUUCGAGGCCAGCCUGGUCUACAGAGUGAGUUCCAGGACAGCCAGGGCUAUACAGAGCAACCCUGUCUCGUCUCGAAAAACCAAAAAAAAAAAAAAAAGAAGAAGGAGAAGAAGAAGAAGAAGAAGAAGAAGAAGAAGAAGAAGAAGAAGAAGAAGAAGAAGGUCAUUCUUGGCUAUAAAGUGAGCUUGAAGUCAGCCUGUGUUACUUGUUCUACACCACAGGGCUACACAGAGAAACCCUGUCUUGAAAAACCAAAAAAAAAAAAAAAAAAAAAAAAAAAAAAAAAAAAAAAAAAAAGGGGAUUGGGUUACCUGACCCCUGCAUUUUCUUUUUUGUUCUAGAAUCAGGUGACUACUGGGAAAAUCUAUUUUUAUUAUGGUUUACCGUGUCUACCAAAUACAUCUUCCAGAUACAAGGUGUGGCAAAUACUGAGAAAGGCAAACAACAUCUCAAGGAGCAUUCUCACAGACUUCAAGUAGGGCUGACUACAUGAGACUGUGGUGUGUAUGUGUGUGUGAGCCAGAUUCCUGGAUUCGUGCAAGAAAUGCACUGGGAUUGGUCCCUGGCUAGGGAAGAGUCUUUAGGGGCCAGGAGAAGGAGGAGGAAGAAGAAGAAGAAGAAGAGGGGGAGGAGAAGGAAGAGAGGGAGAAGAGGAGGAGAAGGAGGACGUACUUCUACUACUAGUAAUAGGAAUAGGAAUAGUAGUAGGAAUAGUAGCAGUAGUACUAGUAGCACCAGCAGCAGCAGUAGUUUGAGUGUCUAAGGCCAUCAGAAGUGGGAGGCAGUGAGCCUUACCUCUCACUGGAGUCCCAGACUCAAAGCCAGGAGAGCAGGCCCAGCUCAGGGGUUGCAGGAGACUUUGGAUUGGUCUAACCUGAGCAAGGUAAUGGUGACUGUGAGUUGGUCUAGCCUGAACAAGGCAAGAGUGGUGUGUGUCUAAGCAAGGAGAUGGGAUCUUAGCUUUCCACCCGGACCCUGCUCACCUUGCUGGUGGCUGACUGACCAGCCAGCCUUUCUAAUGUGACCUCUGCUGACUGAAGGGUGCAGCAUGUCUGGAGCCAGCGCAGCCUGACUGAUAAGCCUCCUCAACUCAUUAAAUUACGCAGGAGAAAUGGAGGUGGCGACUUCACUGUGUGACUGCUCUGCCAGGGAACCUGCCUUCCUGGGUUUCACGUUUCAAAGGCUGAAAUGGAUCUGGAGAUUUUGUGCAUAAUUAAAGGAGAAUGUCACUUCA
This is a long non-coding RNA of Mus musculus (house mouse), 9912 nucleotides long. RefSeq annotates it as predicted gene, 53938. The record is from RefSeq and is a predicted model, not a curated record. The transcript has 2 exons. NCBI's taxonomy places the organism in Eukaryota, Metazoa, Chordata, Mammalia, Rodentia, Muridae.